UGGGGAAUAUUGCGCAAUGGGGGAAACCCUGACGCAGCGACGCCGCGUGCGGGAUGAAGGCCUUCGGGUUAUAAACCGCUUUUGAUUGGGAGCAAGCUUUCGGGUGAGUGUACCUUUCGAAUAAGCGCCGGCUAACUACGUGCCAGCAGCCGCGGUAAUACGUAGGGGGCUAGCGUUGUCCGGAAUCACUGGGCGUAAAGGGUUCGCAGGCGGAAUAACAAGUCAGAUGUGAAAGGCAUGGGCUCAACCCAUGUAAGCAUUUGAAACUGUAAUUCUUGAGAAGUGGAGAGGUAAGUGGAAUUCCUAGUGUAGCGGUGAAAUGCGUAGAUAUUAGGAGGAAUACCUGUGGCGAAGGCGACUUACUGGACACAAAUCUGACGCUGAGGAACGAAAGCGUGGGUAGCAAACAGG
Molecule: ribosomal RNA, 411 nt
Filed under: Verrucomicrobiota bacterium
Lineage: Bacteria; Pseudomonadati; Verrucomicrobiota
Description: Verrucomicrobia bacterium partial 16S ribosomal RNA
Rfam family: Bacterial small subunit ribosomal RNA
Source: RNAcentral